UGAGGAAUAUUGGUCAAUGGGCGCGAGCCUGAACCAGCCAAGUAGCGUGAAGGAUGAAGGUCCUAUGGAUUGUAAACUUCUUUUAUAGCAGAAUAAAGUGACCCACGUGUGGGUUUUUGUAUGUAUGCUAUGAAUAAGGAUCGGCUAACUUCGUGCCAGCAACCGCGGUAAUACGGAGGAUCCGAGCGUUAUCCGGAUUUAUUGGGUUUAAAGGGUGCGUAGGCGGAAAGAUAAGUCAGCCUGUGAAAGUUUGCGGCUCAACCGUAAAAUUGCAGUUGAUACUGUUUUUCUUGAGUGUACAUAAGGUAGGCGGAAUUCGUGGUGUAGCGGUGAAAUGCUUAGAUAUCACGAAGAACUCCGAUUGCGAAGGCAGCUUACCGGGGUACAACUGACGCUGAUGCACGAAAGUGUGGGUAUCAAACA
This 423-nucleotide ribosomal RNA is filed under the name uncultured bacterium. Its description in RNAcentral is "bacterial SSU rRNA". It matches the Rfam family "Bacterial small subunit ribosomal RNA", at positions 355 to 774 of the family's 1533-position model. The record is from RNAcentral.